AUUUUAAUGAAUGUUUGAAAGAAAGCUAAGGCAGGUGUCAAAAUUUUCACUGAAUACAACAACUGAAAUUUCACUCUGUUCCCAAACUGCAAUACUUGAAUGCACAUUACACUUUUUUAUGAUACCUUAUGGUGUCUUUGUGUCUUUUUCUUUAAAGCUUCAGUCCUUAUUUAUUGUAAUGGCAUAAAAACAUAUGACAAGCACAUUAUUCACAAUUUCUCCUUUUGAAUUUAUGGGUAAACUAGUCUGCCUCCAUGUUUCUUAGGGUAGAAUGUAGACUGAGAUGAAGAUCUACUGUGGUGGACAUUUUUUAGGGAACAUGUUUGGAUGACCAUGACUUGCUGGACUAGCUGACCUCAUCUUGCCAUCUUUUUGUCCUUGGACAGAGAGAUCAUCUUCGUACCGAGUCUAUUUCCUCUUUCUGUGAUCUUUCCAUUGCCACCUGUGUGCCAUAUUCCCUGUCUAUCCAUCUCUUCCUCUAGCUCUUCUCCUCAAUCCCCUCAUCCCUCUCUCCCUCUCUCUCUCUCCGCUGCCCAAGGCAAUGCUGUCCUGCAGGCUUUGAUCAUAGGGCCAGGGAGGAAAUGGGAAGUGGGUCAGAAAGUUGUGCUGGAGACUGCAGGGAAACAAGGCUGGAAUAUCGAGUAGGUAAGCAGGGAGAAAGAGAGAGAGAGAGAGAGAGAGAGAGAGAGAGCGCGAGGGGACCAGGAACGUGGACUGAGCGGAGGGGAGGGUCACCGGUUCGGGUGUCCGGACGGAGGAGGAGAGAAAUAUCUGCCUCCAAAACAGCUGGACAUGCACAUCAGGUGAGUCCCCUUGUACAGGGAAACACAACUUCCUCUUGUUCUAGUCGAUAUUGA
Cyprinus carpio carpio is the source of this 857-nucleotide long non-coding RNA. The record is from Ensembl. NCBI's taxonomy places the organism in Eukaryota, Metazoa, Chordata, Actinopteri, Cypriniformes, Cyprinidae.